UCUUGAUGAAGAGGAAUGGAA
This 21-nucleotide microRNA is filed under the name Arabidopsis lyrata. RNAcentral describes it as "aly-miR847-5p". Its record names the gene aly-miR847-5p. The record is from miRBase by way of RNAcentral. Lineage: Eukaryota; Viridiplantae; Streptophyta; Magnoliopsida; Brassicales; Brassicaceae.